Molecule: ribosomal RNA, 446 nt
Filed under: uncultured bacterium
Lineage: Bacteria
Description: partial 16S ribosomal RNA
Rfam family: Bacterial small subunit ribosomal RNA
Source: RNAcentral
CUCCAGACUCCUACGGGAGGCAGCAGUGGGGAAUAUUGCACAAUGGGGGAAACCCUGAUGCAGCGACGCCGCGUGAGCGAUGAAGUAUUUCGGUAUGUAAAGCUCUAUCAGCAGGGAAGAAAAUGACGGUACCUGACUAAGAAGCCCCGGCUAACUACGUGCCAGCAGCCGCGGUAAUACGUAGGGGGCAAGCGUUAUCCGGAUUUACUGGGUGUAAAGGGAGCGUAGACGGCAAUGCAAGCCAGAUGUGAAAGCCCGGGGCUCAACCCCGGGACUGCAUUUGGAACUGUGUAGCUGGAGUGUCGGAGAGGCAGGCGGAAUUCCUAGUGUAGCGGUGAAAUGCGUAGAUAUUAGGAGGAACACCAGUGGCGAAGGCGGCCUGCUGGACGAUGACUGACGUUGAGGCUCGAAAGCGUGGGGAGCAAACAGGAUUAGAUACCCCAGUA